CCGGUUGUAUCACGUGCUCGGGCCUGUUUCCGGUUGUGUAUCCUGUUUCCGUUCACCUUGCCGACUCUCUUCACUCGCCAUGUCCGUUCUCCUCCGGGGGCUCGUGGGCCGUGCCGCCCCGCUCCGCCCGCCCUUCACCAUUGCCCGGGCCCGGCUCAACAGCAAGGCGUCCGACAGCGAGAUCGGGCCCGCGGCGUCCCUAUUCGCACUCACCCUGUUUUCGGCUGUGAUUCUGAUUCCGGGGAGCUGGUUUCUAUCUCAUGUCAAUGACUACAAGAAACGGGAAUGAGGAUGAUCCACAGCUAGACUGUGGUAUAUGAGGAACCAUAGCCCUCUCUUCCACACUCCAACCAUUCUGUGAGCCUGGCCCUUGGCCACCGACAUUCCUUUGGCUGUCUCCUUCAAGAUUUAUUUCUUAAUGCGACUUGUGAAGAUUUGUUGUCUUGGAGUGGUCUCUGUUACAAUAAAGUUUAUUUAAAAUGA
Molecule: non-coding RNA, 483 nt
Organism: Chiloscyllium plagiosum (whitespotted bambooshark)
Lineage: Eukaryota; Metazoa; Chordata; Chondrichthyes; Orectolobiformes; Hemiscylliidae
Source: RefSeq, a predicted model, not a curated record